RNAcentral lists this ribosomal RNA (253 nucleotides) under uncultured bacterium. Its description in RNAcentral is "partial 16S ribosomal RNA". It matches the Rfam family "Bacterial small subunit ribosomal RNA", at positions 524 to 776 of the family's 1533-position model. The record is from RNAcentral.
GACAGAGGUGCCGAGCGUUAGGCGGAAUCACUGGGCUUAAAGCGUGUGUAGGUGGAUGUCUAAGUACCUUGUGAAAUCCCACGGCUUAACCGUGGAACUGCUCGGUAUACUGGAUGUCUUGAGCCAGCUAGGGGCUACCGAAGCAAAUGGUGGAGCGGUGAAAUGCGUAGAUAUUGGGAGGAACACCAGUGGCGAAGGCGGCUCACUGGACCGGAACUGACGCUGAGGCGCGAAAGCGUGGGGAGCAAACAGG